Molecule: unclassified non-coding RNA, 250 nt
Filed under: plant metagenome
Description: partial contains small subunit ribosomal RNA, internal transcribed spacer 1, and 5.8S ribosomal RNA
Source: RNAcentral
GUAGGUGAACCUGCGGAAGGAUCAUUGCCGAUCGGACGCCACGUUGAACCCUCACGGGCUCUUCGUGGUGUCUUUUUCGACCAACCCAUGUGAACUCGUUUUAUGUGUUUAACAAAACCCCCACAUUCACAAUGUGUGGGUUUUGUCCAAACAUUUUAACAAACCACAUCAUAUUGAACUCUUGACUGAGACAAUACAGGUCACGCCUAAAAACGUUGAUCUCAAAAACCUAACCAUUACAACUUUUAAC